This 461-nucleotide ribosomal RNA is filed under the name bacterium enrichment culture clone TC60a_5890. RNAcentral's name for it is "bacterial SSU rRNA". It matches the Rfam family "Bacterial small subunit ribosomal RNA", at positions 28 to 508 of the family's 1533-position model. The record is from RNAcentral.
GACGAACGCUGGCGGCGUGCUUAACACAUGCAAGUCGAGCGAUGAAGCUUCCUUCGGGAAGUGGAUUAGCGGCGGACGGGUGAGUAGCACGUGGGUAACCUGCCUCAAAGUGGGGGAUAGCCUUCCGAAAGGAAGAUUAAUACCGCAUAAUAUGAGGAAAUCGCAUGAUUUUCUUAUCAAAGAUUUAUUGCUUUGAGAUGGACCCGCGGCGCAUUAGCUAGUUGGUAAGGUAAUGGCUUACCAAGGCAACGAUGCGUAGCCGACCUGAGAGGGUGAUCGGCCACAUUGGAACUGAGACACGGUCCAGACUCCUACGGGAGGCAGCAGUGGGGAAUAUUGCGCAAUGGGGGAAACCCUGACGCAGCAACGCCGCGUGGGUGAUGAAGGUCUUCGGAUUGUAAAGCCCUGUUUUCUGGGACGAUAAUGACGGUACCACACGAAAGCCCCGGCUAACUACGUGC